AAGACCAAAAGAUGCACGGAAUGAUCGUGGCAGUCGGUAUCGGACUGGCGGUCCUCAUAGCCUUCAUCACGUUCACUCUAUUCACGUCACCGCCACAUCAGCCACGCCAUAAGCCACCACCGGUACCCGCUGUAAGAGAAUACACCGUCAGAGACUACAGCCAGACGCGCGAAGUGCCUGC
RNAcentral lists this long non-coding RNA (181 nucleotides) under Dermacentor andersoni. RNAcentral describes it as "uncharacterized LOC126534365". Lineage: Eukaryota; Metazoa; Arthropoda; Arachnida; Ixodida; Ixodidae. The record is from RNAcentral.